ACAUGCAAGUCGAGCGGAACGAGUUAUCAGAACCCUUCGGGGAACGAUAACGGCGUCGAGCGGCGGACGGGUGAGUAAUGCCUAGGAAAUUGCCCUGAUGUGGGGGGAUAACCAUUGGAAACGAUGGCUAAUACCGCAUGAUGCCUACGGGCCAAAGAGGGGGACCUUCGGGCCUCUCGCGUCAGGAUAUGCCUAGGUGGGAUUAGCUAGUUGGUGAGGUAAGGGCUCACCAAGGCGACGAUCCCUAGCUGGUCUGAGAGGAUGAUCAGCCACACUGGAACUGAGACACGGUCCAGACUCCUACGGGAGGCAGCAGUGGGGAAUAUUGCACAAUGGGCGCAAGCCUGAUGCAGCCAUGCCGCGUGUGUGAAGAAGGCCUUCGGGUUGUAAAGCACUUUCAGUCGUGAGGAAGGUGGUGUAGUUAAUAGCUGCAUUAUUUGACGUUAGCGACAGAAGAAGCACCGGCUAACUCCGUGCCAGCAGCCGCGGUAAUACGGAGGGUGCGAGCGUUAAUCGGAAUUACUGGGCGUAAAGCGCAUGCAGGUGGUUUGUUAAGUCAGAUGUGAAAGCCCGGGGCUCAACCUCGGAAUAGCAUUUGAAACUGGCAGACUAGAGUACUGUAGAGGGGGGUAGAAUUUCAGGUGUAGCGGUGAAAUGCGUAGAGAUCUGAAGGAAUACCGGUGGCGAAGGCGGCCCCCUGGACAGAUACUGACACUCAGAUGCGAAAGCGUGGGGAGCAAACAGGAUUAGAUACCCUGGUAGUCCACGCCGUAAACGAUGUCUACUUGGAGGUUGUGGCCUUGAGCCGUGGCUUUCGGAGCUAACGCGUUAAGUAGACCGCCUGGGGAGUACGGUCGCAAGAUUAAAACUCAAAUGAAUUGACGGGGGCCCGCACAAGCGGUGGAGCAUGUGGUUUAAUUCGAUGCAACGCGAAGAACCUUACCUACUCUUGACAUCCAGAGAACUUUCCCAGAGAUGGAUUGGUGCCUUCGGGAACUCUGAGACAGGUGCUGCAUGGGCUGUCGUCAGCCUCGUGUUUGUGAAAUGGUUGGGGUUU
Molecule: ribosomal RNA, 1057 nt
Filed under: Vibrio sp.
Lineage: Bacteria; Pseudomonadati; Pseudomonadota; Gammaproteobacteria; Vibrionales; Vibrionaceae
Description: bacterial SSU rRNA
Rfam family: Bacterial small subunit ribosomal RNA
Source: RNAcentral